Molecule: ribosomal RNA, 293 nt
Filed under: uncultured bacterium
Lineage: Bacteria
Description: partial 16S ribosomal RNA
Rfam family: Bacterial small subunit ribosomal RNA
Source: RNAcentral
GGAUUAGAUACCCUGGUAGUCCACGCCGUAAACGAUGUCUACUAGCCGUUGGGGUCCUUGAGACUUUAGUGGCGCAGCUAACGCAAUAAGUAGACCGCCUGGGGAGUACGGUCGCAAGAUUAAAACUCAAAUGAAUUGACGGGGGCCCGCACAAGCGGUGGAGCAUGUGGUUUAAUUCGAAGCAACGCGAAGAACCUUACCAGGUCUUGACAUCCAGAGAAUCUUUCAGAGAUGAGAGAGUGCCUUCGGGAAUUCUGAGACAGGUGCUGCAUGGCUGUCGUCAGCUCAUGCCG